Molecule: non-coding RNA, 78 nt
Organism: Carica papaya (papaya)
Lineage: Eukaryota; Viridiplantae; Streptophyta; Magnoliopsida; Brassicales; Caricaceae
Source: RefSeq, a predicted model, not a curated record
GUCAAGUUCUGGUUUCAAAACAAGAGGACUCAAACAAGGGCUCAAAGUGAGCGAGCAGACAACUCGGCUCUCCGGGAA